Molecule: transfer RNA, 86 nt
Filed under: Citrobacter freundii
Lineage: Bacteria; Pseudomonadati; Pseudomonadota; Gammaproteobacteria; Enterobacterales; Enterobacteriaceae
Also listed under: 2 other names
Description: tRNA-Leu
Rfam family: tRNA
About the family: Transfer RNA (tRNA) molecules are approximately 80 nucleotides in length. Their secondary structure includes four short double-helical elements and three loops (D, anti-codon, and T loops). Further hydrogen bonds mediate the characteristic L-shaped molecular structure. tRNAs have two regions of fundamental functional importance: the anti-codon, which is responsible for specific mRNA codon recognition, and the 3' end, to which the tRNAs corresponding amino acid is attached (by aminoacyl-tRNA synthetases). tRNAs cope with the degeneracy of the genetic code in two manners: having more than one tRNA (with a specific anti-codon) for a particular amino acid; and 'wobble' base-pairing, i.e. permitting non-standard base-pairing at the 3rd anti-codon position.
Source: RNAcentral
GCGAAGGUGGCGGAAUUGGUAGACGCGCUAGCUUCAGGUGUUAGUGUCCUUAGGAUGUGGGGGUUCAAGUCCCCCCCCUCGCACCA